RNAcentral lists this ribosomal RNA (832 nucleotides) under uncultured bacterium. RNAcentral describes it as "bacterial SSU rRNA". It matches the Rfam family "Bacterial small subunit ribosomal RNA", at positions 567 to 1397 of the family's 1533-position model. The record is from RNAcentral.
GCUCGUAGGUGGUUUGUCGCGUCGUCUGUGAAAUUCCGGGGCCUAACUCCGGGCGUGCAGGCGAUACGGGCAUAACUUGAGUACUGUAGGGGUAACUGGAAUUCCUGGUGUAGCGGUGAAAUGCGCAGAUAUCAGGGGGAACACCGAUGGCGAAGGCAGGUUACUGGGCAGUUACUGACGCUGAGGAGCGAAAGCAUGGGUAGCGAACAGGAUUAGAUACCCUGGUAGUCCAUGCCGUAAACGGUGGGCGCUAGGUGUGAGGGUCUUUUCACGACUUUCGUGCCGUAGCUAACGCAUUAAGCGCCCCGCCUGGGGAGUACGGCCGCAAGGCUAAAACUCAAAGGAAUUGACGGGGGCCCGCACAAGCGGCGGAGCAUGUGGAUUAAUUCGAUGCAACGCGAAGAACCUUACCUGGGCUUGACAUACACCGGACCGCUGCAGAGAUGUAGUUUCCCUUUGUGGCUGGUGUACAGGUGGUGCAUGGUUGUCGUCAGCUCGUGUCGUGAGAUGUUGGGUUAAGUCCCGCAACGAGCGCAACCCUUGUCUUAUGUUGCCAGCAUUUGGUUGGGGACUCAUGAGAGACUGCCGGGGUCAACUCGGAGGAAGGUGGGGAUGACGUCAAAUCAUCAUGCCCCUUAUGUCCAGGGCUUCACACAUGCUACAAUGGUCGGUACAACGCGCAGCGACGCUGUGAGGUGGAGCGAAUCGCUGAAAGCCGGCCUUAGUUCGGAUUGGGGUCUGCAACUCGACCCCAUGAAGUCGGAGUCGCUAGUAAUCGCAGAUCAGCAAUGCUGCGGUGAAUACGUUCCCGGGCCUUGCACACACCGCCCGU